This 465-nucleotide ribosomal RNA is filed under the name uncultured bacterium. Its description in RNAcentral is "bacterial SSU rRNA". It matches the Rfam family "Bacterial small subunit ribosomal RNA", at positions 791 to 1254 of the family's 1533-position model. The record is from RNAcentral.
UAGUCCACGCCGUAAACGAUGGAUACUAGCUGUUCGUGGCACAUUGGUGUUAUGAGUGGCUAAGCGAAAGUGAUAAGUAUCCCACCUGGGGAGUACGUUCGCAAGAAUGAAACUCAAAGGAAUUGACGGGGGCCCGCACAAGCGGUGGAGCAUGUGGUUUAAUUCGAUGAUACGCGAGGAACCUUACCAAGGCUUAAAUGAAGAUUGACAGAUUUGGAAACAGGUCUUUCUUCGGACAAUUUUCAAGGUGCUGCAUGGUUGUCGUCAGCUCGUGCCGUGAGGUGUCAGGUUAAGUCCUAUAACGAGCGCAACCCCUGUUGUUAGUUACCAGCAAGAAAGAUGGGGACUCUAACAAGACUGCCGGUGCAAACCGAGAGGAAGGUGGGGAUGACGUCAAAUCAUCACGGCCCUUACGCCUUGGGGCUACACACGUGCUACAAUGGGUAGGUACAAUGAGCAGCCACC